CACGUAGGGCGCAAGCGUUUGUCCGGAAUUACUGGGUGUAAAGGGCUCGUAGGCGGCCAACUAAGUCAGACGUGAAAUCCCUCGGCUUAACCGGGGAACUGCGUCUGAUACUGGAUGGCUUGAGGUUGGGAGAGGGAUGCGGAAUUCCAGGUGUAGCGGUGAAAUGCGUAGAUAUCUGGAGGAACACCGGUGGCGAAGGCGGCAUCCUGGACCAAUUCUGACGCUGAGGAGCGAAAGCCAGGGGAGCAAACGGG
This 254-nucleotide ribosomal RNA is filed under the name uncultured bacterium. RNAcentral's name for it is "partial 16S ribosomal RNA". It matches the Rfam family "Bacterial small subunit ribosomal RNA", at positions 524 to 776 of the family's 1533-position model. The record is from RNAcentral.